This 329-nucleotide unclassified non-coding RNA is filed under the name soil metagenome. RNAcentral's name for it is "partial contains 5.8S ribosomal RNA, internal transcribed spacer 2, and large subunit ribosomal RNA". The stretch from base 1 to 120 matches the Rfam family "5.8S ribosomal RNA", at positions 35 to 154 of the family's 154-position model. The record is from RNAcentral.
GAUGAAGAACGCAGCGAAAUGCGAUACGUAAUGUGAAUUGCAGAAUUCAGUGAAUCAUCGAGUCUUUGAACGCACAUUGCGCCCCCUGGUAUUCCGGGGGGCAUGCCUGUCCGAGCGUCAUUACAACCCUCAAGCUCUGCUUGGUAUUGGGCCCCGCCAGUUCUGGCGGGCCCUAAAGUCAGUGGCGGUGCCUUCCGGCUCCGAGCGUAGUAAUUCUUCUCGCUCUGGAGACCCGGUUGUGUGCUUGCCAACAACCCCCAAUUUUUUAAGGUUGACCUCGGAUCAGGUAGGGAUACCCGCUGAACUUAAGCAUAUCAAUAAGCGGAGGA